GACCACUCAGAACCUCCCCAGGCUGCGCUGGCCCGGAGAGCAGCGUUUUGCAUUUGCCCCUUGGCCCUGGUCUCUCUGUCUUGCUGCCUUCAGGCUUUAACUCCUCAUAGCUCCCUGUAGAUCAACCUCAUUCCUGCCUCUGGGGCUUUGUGAUGUCAGGUGUCCUCCUGGGAAUGCUCCUCUCCCCACACCCCACCAUGUAAGACCCCUCCCAGGACAUUGCUGCUGGCCUUCCCGGCAGGUCCCAGCACUGCCCUGUGCUUCAUGUGGCUUGCUGGCUGCCCUGUGCCCAGGUGGCUUAGCACCUGGCCCCUGCAGGGCAGUGUUCUCUGUCCCACCUGGGUGGGGGCCAUGAAUGCCCCAUGCUCUGGGCUCAGCCGGAGGGCUCAGUGCAGACUGCUGACUCAUGAAGACAAGAAGGAAACAAGAUGAGAAAACCCAGAGAGGAGGUUACAGGAGGCACCCCUGCGAUCCUGGUACUCUACCGUGCAACUCACUCACCGCGCAGGGACUCGCUCCCCAGGGAAGCUCCCAGGACUGAGGCACAGAAGUCUGACACCUCCACGGGCUGCAGGAGGAGUCUCAGAAUGCUGGAGCUGAAACAUCUGCUCAAGAUAUGGAAUGAAGGCCCCCAGGGAAGUGACCGAACAGGCCGAGAGCAGGGGACAGCACCAGCCUGUGCCCCACGACUUCGAAGGCACGGUCUCCGGGAGCUGGACACAGGUGGUCCUGGAAGAGUUUGGGGGCGAAAAGCUGAAGGACCUGGCCUGUCUGGGGAGGCAUACACACCGCCUGUUGGCCCCACCCUGUCUCGAUUCCCUUUUAAGAGCAGUUCCAGCCCUUCUGGGGCCCUUGCCUCCCCAAAGACUGUCUUCCUACCUGGCCUUCUGUGUCCCUGCCAGACCCUGGCCUCCUGAACCCUGGGACAGAGCUGAGAGAUUUCUAGGGGCUGCAGCUGCGCCUCGCAGUGCGGUCGCCUUCCCCUUCCAGGAGGAAAGCAGCCACGCCCUCACUCCACCCACUUUCUCUGGGAGAGCCUGGGCUUGGUACCACGUGCUUACCAAGGAGGGAGCCAAGCAUGGCCAUGCUGGAGAUGACAAGGCCGAAGAUGCCGUGGGGGCCACACUGGACCAGAUGGACCCUGGCGCUCCCUUGGAAGGAUGGGUCUGGGCCCAGAGCGCUGGCUACUUCCUGAGAACACGCAUCACAGCAUCAUACGCCCGGGGAGAGGAGGAGGGGCAACGAGGCUCCCAGAGGUGGGGGCGCAGAGACCAGACUGAGCCCUUGGGCACAGCCCCUGGUGAGGGGGCUCAGAGACGUCCACUGUCAGCCUCCUUCCUCACUGAAACUUGCCCGGGUGGCCACCUGUGCCUGGGUCCCUCCCCAUCUUCAGAAAACACCCCUGACUUAACUCAGUCCCUGUACUGAGCCACUGUUUGCCCCUUGUUUCUAUCUGCCUGCAAAUGUCCUACUUAUGGAACAACUUAGAAACAUGUCCC
RNAcentral lists this long non-coding RNA (1499 nucleotides) under Equus caballus (horse). Its description in RNAcentral is "lncRNA (ENSECAG00000032608.3)". The record is from RNAcentral. Lineage: Eukaryota; Metazoa; Chordata; Mammalia; Perissodactyla; Equidae.